Molecule: ribosomal RNA, 218 nt
Filed under: Candidatus Karelsulcia muelleri str. Hc (Homalodisca coagulata)
Lineage: Bacteria; Pseudomonadati; Bacteroidota; Flavobacteriia; Flavobacteriales
Description: Candidatus Sulcia muelleri str. Hc (Homalodisca coagulata) 16S ribosomal RNA
Rfam family: Bacterial small subunit ribosomal RNA
Source: RNAcentral
GAAAUCUUAAAGCGGAACAUUAAAAGUGCUAUUGAUACAGAAAAACUAGAGUUAGUUGGGAGUAGCUGGAAGGGGUGGUGUAGCGGUGAAAUGCGUAGAAAUCACACAGAACACCAAUAGCGAAAGCAAGUUACUAAGCCUAUACUGACGCGGAGGGCACGAAAGCAGGGGGAGCAAACAGGAUUAGAUACCCUGGUAGUCCAGGCAGAAAACGAAGA